AACUUUGUGCAGUGGCAGUAUAAUAGCCAAUGAGAUUUACCCAAGGCACAAUUAUUGCUAAUUGAACAACAGGUCAUUAUUCUAUGGAAAACCCCGUUACUGGCACUAGGAUAUGAACAACCAGCUUUUAUCACAAAGGGCUCUUGAAGAUUUUUAACUCGUCUCUGGG
Molecule: small nuclear RNA, 169 nt
Filed under: Octodon degus (degu)
Lineage: Eukaryota; Metazoa; Chordata; Mammalia; Rodentia; Octodontidae
Description: U4 spliceosomal RNA (ENSODEG00000025711.1)
Rfam family: U4 spliceosomal RNA (bases 1-71)
Source: RNAcentral